Molecule: non-coding RNA, 128 nt
Filed under: pig gut metagenome
Description: Moco (molybdenum cofactor) riboswitch
Rfam family: Molybdenum/Tungsten riboswitch aptamer (Moco RNA motif)
Source: RNAcentral
UGAAUAAAUUCCGAGUAUCUGUCUCUAAAGCAACUCCGGCUCCAAAGCUGCUGCGACAGCCAUGAGACAUAUACCGAUGGGUGUUCAGGGAAACCUCAGCGCCUCCCGUGUUUGGAAAGGAAUGAUGA